RNAcentral lists this ribosomal RNA (376 nucleotides) under uncultured Methanomicrobiales archaeon. Its description in RNAcentral is "bacterial SSU rRNA". It matches the Rfam family "Archaeal small subunit ribosomal RNA", at positions 961 to 1338 of the family's 1478-position model. Lineage: Archaea; Methanobacteriati; Methanobacteriota; Methanomicrobia; Methanomicrobiales. The record is from RNAcentral.
GAAGACUCACUUGACUAGCUGAGAGGAGGUGCAUGGCCGUCGUCAGUUCGUACUGUGAAGCAUCCUGUUAAGUCAGGCAACGAGCGAGACCCACGCCAACAGUUGCCAGCUCGUCCUCCGGGAUGAGGGGACACUGUUGGGACCGCCUCUGCUAAAGAGGAGGAAGGAAUGGGCAACGGUAGGUCAGCAUGCCCCGAAUUAUCUGGGCUACGCGCGGGCUACAAUGGGUGGGACAAUGGGUAUCGACACCGAAAGGUGAAGGCAAUCUCCUAAACCCAUCCUUAGUUCGGAUUGUGGGCUGCAACUCGCCCACAUGAAGCUGGAAUCUGUAGUAAUCGUGUUUCAAAAUAGCACGGUGAAUAUGUCCCUGCUCCUU